UUUCGCGGUAAAUAAACGCUCGCGUAACUUCUCACAAGACACAUCGCAAACAGAAGCACCGCCCCCCCAGUUCCUUCAGCAUCGACCUAGUCGUGCUGCGCCGCCACGGCCGGCCGGCCGCCCGGCCUUCUGCCCAGGUCCUCGGCCUGCUGCCUGGCCUUCUGCUCAGCUGGUCAGCUCCUCGGCCGGCCUCCUUGCUUCUAUUCCUCCGUAUAGGAAGUCCAGCAACAAGAUCGCCUUACUUUGAUCUGGUAAACGAGGAAGUUGAAAAAAAGCAGGAAGAGUAACAAAAAAAUCUCUGCCUUUUUCCUGACGGGUGUGAUCUUAUCAUGUUGGCUUUCUUAUAUGAUGCCAGUCCCAUGUGUUGAUACCAGAUCGCUAUAAAGGAUGAGAUGCUCCACAGAUUUGGAGAGAGUAAUGGUUAGUUCCUAGGUUUGUGGUGGAAUCGAAAACCGCUUCAGUGUCCGACUUGGUGUAAGCUGGCCGAGUUAUCAUCUUCUAUUUUAAUAUUUUUUU
This is a long non-coding RNA of Triticum urartu, 516 nucleotides long. RefSeq lists it as uncharacterized. Lineage: Eukaryota; Viridiplantae; Streptophyta; Magnoliopsida; Poales; Poaceae. The record is from RefSeq and is a predicted model, not a curated record.